This 127-nucleotide small RNA is filed under the name Marmota monax (woodchuck). Lineage: Eukaryota; Metazoa; Chordata; Mammalia; Rodentia; Sciuridae. The record is from RNAcentral.
GUGGGGCGUGGUGUCGCACACCUGUAAUCCCAGCGGCUUGGGAGGCUGAGACAGGAGGAUCGUGAGUUCAAAACCAGCUUCAGCAACUGAGCAAGGCACUAAGCAACACAGUGAGACCCUGUCUCUA